Molecule: ribosomal RNA, 468 nt
Filed under: uncultured bacterium
Lineage: Bacteria
Description: partial 16S ribosomal RNA
Rfam family: Bacterial small subunit ribosomal RNA
Source: RNAcentral
GACGAACGCUGGCGGCGUGCUUAACACAUGCAAGUCGAACGGAAAGGCCCUGCUUUUGUUGGGUGCUCGAGUGGCGAACGGGUGAGUAACACGUGUGUAAACUGCCCUUGACUUUGGGAUAACUUCUGGAAACUGGGGCUAAUACCGGAUAGGAGCUCCUGCUGCAUGGUGGGGGUUGGAAAGUUUCGGCGGUGGGGGAUGGACUCGCGGCUUAUCAGCUUGUUGGUGGGGUAGUGGCUUACCAAGGCUUUGACGGGUAGCCGGCCUGGGAGGGGGACCGGCCACAUUGGGACUGAGAUACGGCGCAGACUCCUACGGGAGGCAGCAGUGGGGAAUAUUGCACAAUGGGCGGAAGCCUGAUGCAGCAACGCCGCGUGCGGGAUGACGGCCUUCGGGUUGUAAACCGCUUUCGCCUGUGACGAAGCGUGAGUGACGGUAAUGGGUAAAGAAGCACCGGCUAACUACGUG